CGUAAACCGUUAGAUUGAAAACUAAGAAAAAUAUUUUUGGUAUUAUUAUGAAAAAAUUAUAGUGUAAAAAAGUACAAAAUAAAAUAAUAAAAAUGUGCUGUUGUUACGACGAAGUAUGAAGUACUUUGAAGUAACUCCUGUCCUUGUGGCGUCAUGUGAGACUAAAUGCGAUACUCCUGUUAUAUGUUACCCAUGCUUACCACGUUGUCCAAAGGCACAAUUAGUUUACUGCUGCGAUAAAAAACCAAACUCGCAAGAAAGACCCAGAAAUAAUAGCCAUCCGGGAAAAAGUAGAAGUAAAACGGAAACAAUAUAAUGUCGAAGGUCAUGCUCGCCACCUUGUUGCACAUCCUGUAAACAGCCAAGCUGUGAACCUGUAAAUGUGAAAUACGUGAUCCCGUGCUAUGGAUACGAAGAUGGUAGAAUUGUAAACCCUAUGCCCUCCUCAGCUUUGAAAAGAAAUGGACUUCAAGAUCAAAAGUUUAUCGAAAGCGGAGGAAUUUCAUAUAAAAGAAAAAGUUGGGAUAAUGCGUGUUGGAGCGAUUAUCCAUUUUGCUUUCCAAUUCAAAACACGAUGAAACUCCCUGUUAUUGUUGCUAAGAAGUGAUGAAUCUAUUAGGUGAGAAAACUGCCGGUUUCUGCUUUCAAAAGGAAUGGAAUGCAGGACCAAGAACAUUCGAAACUCAUGGGUUCUACCAACUUUCUGAUGAGAUGUCCUCGUGAUGUAUUAAUAGAAUUCGAUGUCUGCUCAAAGCCUGUUAAAAUAUGCGAUCCCGUUAAAGUACCAACAUACGCAAGUGAAGAUUUAAAUCCUAAACGAUAUAAAAAGCGACCUAUUAAAGUUGCUCUUGAAGAUGUUUUAGAUGACUAAGAAUUCAUACUCUAGGUAAAUCAACCUACGGUUCUUAUGCGGCGCGCCUGCGAGGUCGCUGUAGGUAACCGAACAAGAAGGAAACCAUUUGUCGAGACAAGUUACAGCGCAGAUUCAGAAAAAGAAAUAAGUCGCUACGCUUCAGAAGAUGACUGGGGUAAUUGUUGUUAUCAUUUUGAGAAAAAAACAUGUGAUCCUGUUCCUACGUGUCACCCUAGCAUCUCUUGUCCUGGCAACUGCGUUCCAGCGAAGUGUAUUCCUAAGAAAAAUUGUUACUACUAUUGCUGUUAACUUGUUGUUCUAUAUUUUUUUUAAAGAUACGAUAUUAAACUUAACAACUGGCGGCUAUAUUAAAUUAUAUUACCAGAUGUA
Molecule: long non-coding RNA, 1243 nt
Organism: Leptidea sinapis
Lineage: Eukaryota; Metazoa; Arthropoda; Insecta; Lepidoptera; Pieridae
Exons: 5
Source: RefSeq, a predicted model, not a curated record